GUAGGUGGCAAGCGUUGUCCGGAAUUAUUGGGCGUAAAGCGCGCGCAGGUGGGUUCUUUAAGUCUGAUGUGAAAGCCCCCGGGCUCAACCGGGGAGGGCCAUUGGAAACUGGGGAACUUGAGUGCAGGAGAGGAAAGUGGAAUUCCACGUGUAGCGGUGAAAUGCGUAGAUAUGUGGAGGAACACCAGUGGCGAAGGCGACUUUCUGGCCUGUAACUGACACUGAGGCGCGAAAGCGUGGGGAGCAAACAGGAUUAGAUACCCUGGUAGUCCACGCCGUAAACGAUGAGUGCUAAGUGUUGGGGGGUUUCCGCCCCUCAGUGCUGCAGCUAACGCAUUAAGCACUCCGCCUGGGGAGUACGGUCGCAAGACUG
This 373-nucleotide ribosomal RNA is filed under the name uncultured organism. Its description in RNAcentral is "partial 16S ribosomal RNA". It matches the Rfam family "Bacterial small subunit ribosomal RNA", at positions 527 to 896 of the family's 1533-position model. The record is from RNAcentral.